AUUGAACGCUGGCGGCAUGCUUUACACAUGCAAGUCGAACGGCAGCGCGGGCUUCGGCCUGGCGGCGAGUGGCGAACGGGUGAGUAAUACAUCGGAACGUGCCCAGUAGUGGGGGAUAGCUCGGCGAAAGCCGGAUUAAUACCGCAUACGACCUGAGGGUGAAAGCGGGGGAUCUUCGGACCUCGCGCUAUUGGAGCGGCCGAUGGCAGAUUAGCCAGUUGGUGGGGUAAAGGCCUACCAAGGCGACGAUCUGUAGCUGGUCUGAGAGGACGACCAGCCACACUGGGACUGAGACACGGCCCAGACUCCUACGGGAGGCAGCAGUGGGGAAUUUUGGACAAUGGGCGAAAGCCUGAUCCAGCAAUGCCGCGUGUGUGAUGAAGGCCUUCGGGUUGUAAAGCACUUUUGGCGGGAACGAAAAGGACUGUGCCAAUACCACGGUUCGAUGACGGUACCCGCAGAAUAAGCACCGGCUAACUACGUG
This 484-nucleotide ribosomal RNA is filed under the name uncultured bacterium. Its description in RNAcentral is "partial 16S ribosomal RNA". It matches the Rfam family "Bacterial small subunit ribosomal RNA", at positions 29 to 507 of the family's 1533-position model. The record is from RNAcentral.